This 21-nucleotide non-coding RNA is filed under the name Arabidopsis thaliana (thale cress). The record is from RNAcentral. Lineage: Eukaryota; Viridiplantae; Streptophyta; Magnoliopsida; Brassicales; Brassicaceae.
CAAGGUGCCAUCGUUCUCUCA